Molecule: long non-coding RNA, 481 nt
Organism: Aquila chrysaetos chrysaetos
Lineage: Eukaryota; Metazoa; Chordata; Aves; Accipitriformes; Accipitridae
Exons: 3
Source: RefSeq, a predicted model, not a curated record
AUUUUGCAUCUAGAAUGAAUCUCAGGUCAGAAAUAAAAUAAAGCCCCAAACCUAUCACUGCUCAUGUUAGUAUUUGGAUGUGAAGGCACUUUACAGUAGACAGUGAUCAUCUAUUUUUUAUCUCAUCCUUAUUUGUUUAAUUGAAAGAAAAUUAAAAUUGUCUGGAGCUUACCAAAUGCCUUUUCCUGCAUUCAAUGCAUGAGGCAUGCUGACUUCUUAAUGCCAAGUUGGAAAAAAUAUGUAUUCUGUAACUUGAUGAAGAAACCAAAGUUAAUUCCACAAACAUGCGGUGACUUCUACCAGUUUGUGCACCCCUCAAGAAAUGGAAAUUGUACAUUGCAGGGAUUGACGCUCUGUACUUGAAUACUGAUAAAUAAGGAAGUCUUGCUUUCUGGGGACCCAAACUGGUGUCAGUUUUAUUCUGGGAAUAAGUGACCACAAUUAUCUUCUUUGCCUUCAUGGAAGAUUUUUAAAGAAUAAG